RNAcentral lists this ribosomal RNA (235 nucleotides) under uncultured bacterium. RNAcentral's name for it is "partial 16S ribosomal RNA". It matches the Rfam family "Bacterial small subunit ribosomal RNA", at positions 96 to 334 of the family's 1533-position model. The record is from RNAcentral.
CGGCGGACGGGUGAGUAACGCGUAGGAAUCUACCCAGUAGUGGGGGACAACAUGGUGAAAACCAUGCUAAUACCGCAUACGCCCUAAGGGGGAAAGCGGGGGACCUUCGGGCCUCGCGCUAUUGGAUGAGCCUGCGUCGGAUUAGCUUGUUGGUGAGGUAAAAGCUCACCAAGGCGACGAUCCGUAGCUGGUCUGAGAGGAUGAUCAGCCACACUGGAACUGAGACACGGUCCAG